CAGGGUAAGACUUGCAAGCUGAACAUGCACAAAAACAUGUACUACAAAGCCAACGAUUGGACAUCGGAUUCGUUGUACCAGAUAUAACAUCGUUUUCACCGGCGGUUUUUGAUAUAAUAUGGCUUGCGGCGGAACCGUUGUCAUCUUGCGUACGUCCGGCUUCCAAUGGUUCGACCGGAACAGUACAUUGUCAACGACGGUUUCCUCGACACCGAACAACAAACGGUAAUGGUCUAGAACCGAACAAAAGUACAUACCGCAAACCAUAACAACAAUGUUAUAAUAUUAUCAUACCUUCAUAAUAUUUAGUAAUACUUAUCGUUAGUUACCUGUUAGUCACCUAUUUAUAUAUAAUAUAAUAAUAUCAAUAGUAUUAUCGUGCACGACGACUCGUCUGGCGUUGACAACAGCAAUGGGGGGUUGGGGGUUAUCGAAUUGUGUUCGUAAAGUAUGUUAUUAUUAUUAUUAUUAUUAUUAUUAUUAUUAUUAUCAUUAUCAUCGUCAUCGACAUGUCGUCGUUGUUGUCUAAAUACCGUACAAUAUAUAUUUUGUAUUGUUAUUUUAUCAUCGUUCGUAAAUAUUAAUGUAAAUAUUAUUAUUAUUAU
Molecule: long non-coding RNA, 605 nt
Organism: Diuraphis noxia (Russian wheat aphid)
Lineage: Eukaryota; Metazoa; Arthropoda; Insecta; Hemiptera; Aphididae
Gene: CARPA
Source: RefSeq, a predicted model, not a curated record